UCCAAAGUCUUGAAGAGGAAGCUCAGUGCUGAAAAGCAUCUCUGUUCUUUUAAUACUAUCAUAGAAGCUGCCUUAGUUGACUUGCAGUCAACUCACAGGCCAGCUAUUCAUCACUGUGUAUAACGUACUGGUUGAAUCAUAUUGAAUUUCUGGUUUUGUGGGUCCAAAAAUGGUGGAACACCAGCAUUUUCAGACAAAUGUUUUGAUUAUCUGGCCAAAUGCUACUCCUGAUCACUCAGAAGAAGAUGGAAUUACAACUAUCAAUUGCAAGAGGACCUAGUACAAUGCAGUUCACGAGGUACUUCCUGUAUUAUCGUCCCCUUUAAAUGGUCAGAAACUGAAGAAGAGAAAUCUGGCUCCUGCAAGCAAACGUCCUCCAAGCCCCUUUGAAGCAACCACAGAAACAGGUGGGGGCUAUAGAAACCAGAAUUUAAUGACAGAAAUAGUUUCCUUGUUAAUCAAUCAUUUGGUGUAAGCUAAAGGUCACGAAGAGGAAG
Molecule: long non-coding RNA, 497 nt
Organism: Phyllostomus discolor (pale spear-nosed bat)
Lineage: Eukaryota; Metazoa; Chordata; Mammalia; Chiroptera; Phyllostomidae
Exons: 2
Source: RefSeq, a predicted model, not a curated record